UUUAUGGAGAGUUUGAUCCUGGCUCAGGAUGAACGCUGGCGGCGUGCCUAAUACAUGCAAGUCGAGCGAACGGACGAGAAGCUUGCUUCUCUGAUGUUAGCGGCGGACGGGUGAGUAACACGUGGAUAACCUACCUAUAAGACUGGGAUAACUUCGGGAAACCGGAGCUAAUACCGGAUAAUAUUUUGAACCGCAUGGUUCAAAAGUGAAAGACGGUCUUGCUGUCACUUAUAGAUGGAUCCGCGCUGCAUUAGCUAGUUGGUAAGGUAACGGCUUACCAAGGCAACGAUGCAUAGCCGACCUGAGAGGGUGAUCGGCCACACUGGAACUGAGACACGGUCCAGACUCCUACGGGAGGCAGCAGUAGGGAAUCUUCCGCAAUGGGCGAAAGCCUGACGGAGCAACGCCGCGUGAGUGAUGAAGGUCUUCGGAUCGUAAAACUCUGUUAUUAGGGAAGAACAUAUGUGUAAGUAACUGUGCACAUCUUGACGGUACCUAAUCAGAAAGCCACGGCUAACUACGUGCCAGCAGCCGCGGUAAUACGUAGGUGGCAAGCGUUAUCCGGAAUUAUUGGGCGUAAAGCGCGCGUAGGCGGUUUUUUAAGUCUGAUGUGAAAGCCCACGGCUCAACCGUGGAGGGUCAUUGGAAACUGGAAAACUUGAGUGCAGAAGAGGAAAGUGGAAUUCCAUGUGUAGCGGUGAAAUGCGCAGAGAUAUGGAGGAACACCAGUGGCGAAGGCGACUUUCUGGUCUGUAACUGACGCUGAUGUGCGAAAGCGUGGGGAUCAAACAGGAUUAGAUACCCUGGUAGUCCACGCCGUAAACGAUGAGU
This 831-nucleotide ribosomal RNA is filed under the name Staphylococcus aureus. RNAcentral describes it as "bacterial SSU rRNA". It matches the Rfam family "Bacterial small subunit ribosomal RNA", at positions 1 to 814 of the family's 1533-position model. The record is from RNAcentral. Lineage: Bacteria; Bacillati; Bacillota; Bacilli; Caryophanales; Staphylococcaceae.